GACGAACGCUGGCGGCGGGCGGAACACAGGCAAGUCGAACGGAAAGGCCCUGCUUUUGUGGGGUGCUCGAGUGGCGAACGGGUGAGUAACACGUGAGUAACCUGCCCUUGACUUUGGGAUAACUUCAGGAAACUGGGGCUAAUACCGGAUAGGAGCUCCUGCUGCAUGGUGGGGGUUGGAAAGUUUCGGCGGUUGGGGAUGGACUCGCGGCUUAUCAGCUUGUUGGUGGGGUAGUGGCUUACCAAGGCUUUGACGGGGAGCCGGCCUGAGAGGGUGACCGGCCACAUUGGGACUGAGAUACGGCCCAGACUCCUACGGGAGGCAGCAGUGGGGAAUAUUGCACAAUGGGCGGAAGCCUGAUGCAGCAACGCCGCGUGCGGGAUGACGGCCUUCGGUUUGUAAACCGCUUUCGCCUGUGACGAAGCGUGAGUGACGGUAAUGGGUAAAGCAGCACCGGCUCCCUACGUG
RNAcentral lists this ribosomal RNA (468 nucleotides) under uncultured bacterium. RNAcentral's name for it is "partial 16S ribosomal RNA". It matches the Rfam family "Bacterial small subunit ribosomal RNA", at positions 28 to 507 of the family's 1533-position model. The record is from RNAcentral.